This 497-nucleotide ribosomal RNA is filed under the name uncultured bacterium. Its description in RNAcentral is "partial 16S ribosomal RNA". It matches the Rfam family "Bacterial small subunit ribosomal RNA", at positions 28 to 507 of the family's 1533-position model. The record is from RNAcentral.
GAUGAACGCUGGCGGCGUGCCUAAUACAUGCCAGUCGAGCGAACGGACGAGAAGCUUGCUUCUCUGAUGUUAGCGGCGGACGGGUGAGUAACACGUGGAUAACCUACCUAUAAGACUGGGAUAACUUCGGGAAACCGUAGCUAAUACCGGAUAAUAUUUUGAACCGCAUGGUUCAAAAGUGAAAGACGGUCUUGCUGUCACUUAUAGAUGGAUCCGCGCUGCAUUAGCUAGUUGGUAAGGUAACGGCUUACCAAGGCAACGAUGCAUAGCCGACCUGAGAGGGUGGUCGGCCACACUGGAACUGAGACACGGUCCAGACUCCUACGGGAGGCAGCAGUAGGGAAUCUUCCGCAAUGGGCGAAAGCCUGACGGAGCAACGCCGCGUGAGUGAUGAAGGUCUUCGGAUCGUAAAACUCUGUUAUUAGGGAAGAACAUAUGUGUAAGUAACUGUGCACAUCUUGACGGUACCUAAUCAGAAAGCCACGGCUAACUACGUG